CCUACGGGAGGCAGCAGUGGGGAAUCUUCCGCAAUGGGCGAAAGCCUGACGGAGCAACGCCGCGUGAUCGAAUGAAGGCCUUCGGGUUGUAAAGAUCUGUUGACAGGGACGAAUAAGCCAUGCGAAUAGUUUGGUGUAUGACGGUACCUGUUUAGAAAGCUCCGGCUAACUACGUGCCAGCAGCCGAGGUAAUACGUAGGGAGCAAGCGUUGUCCGGAUUUACUGGGAGUAAAGGGCGCGUAGGUGGGUGCUUAAGUCAGGUGUGAAAACUGUGGGCUCAACCUGGUGACUGAACUUGAAACUGGGUAUCUUGAGGGCAGGAGAGGAAAGUGGAAUUCCUAGUGUAGCGGUGAAAUGUGUAGAUAUUAGGAGGAACACCAGUGGCGAAGGCGACUUUCUGGACUGUACCUGACGCUGAGGCGCGAAAGCGUGGGUAGCGAACAGGAUUAGAUACCCCUGUAGUC
Molecule: ribosomal RNA, 464 nt
Filed under: uncultured bacterium
Lineage: Bacteria
Description: partial 16S ribosomal RNA
Rfam family: Bacterial small subunit ribosomal RNA
Source: RNAcentral